RNAcentral lists this ribosomal RNA (506 nucleotides) under uncultured bacterium. RNAcentral's name for it is "bacterial SSU rRNA". It matches the Rfam family "Bacterial small subunit ribosomal RNA", at positions 903 to 1397 of the family's 1533-position model. The record is from RNAcentral.
AAAGGAAUAGACGGGGGCCCGCACAAGCGGUGGAGCACGUGGUUUAAUUCGAUGCAAACCGAAGAACCUUACCUGGGUUUGACAUACAAGUGGUAGAGAAGCGAAAGUGGAUCGACUUUAGUAGCAAUACUAGAGAGCUUGAACAGGUGCUGCAUGGUUGUCGUCAGCUCGUGUCGUGAGAUGUUGGGUCAAGUCCCGCAACGAGCGCAACCCCUAUAGCCAGUUGCUAACAGGAGAGCUGAGCACUCUGGCGAGACUGCCGCCGACAAGGCGGAGGAAGGUGGGGACGACGUCAAAUCAUCAUGGCCUUUAUGCCCAGGGCGACACACGUGCUACAAUGGCCGACACAGACGGCAGCUUACUCGCGAGAGUUGGCGAAUCCUCAAAAGUCGGUCCCAGUUCGGACUGCAGUCUGCAACUCGACUGCACGAAGCCGGAAUCGCUAGUAAUCGCAGAUCAGCCAAGCUGCGGUGAAUACGUUCCCGGGCCUUGUACACACCGCCCGU